GGGGGAAAGGACACCGAAGGCCUGCUGGUGUAAUAAAGGAUAAUUAAUGUUCAAGUCAGAUAAGCUCGGAGCUUGAGCACGGAACAGCACUUGGCUGCGGGAUAACAAAUUUAACAGCUCCCUAGUGGAAGAUGAAAUGAAGAGCCCAUACAGCCGACUGAACUCUACCCACUUGUCAGCUCUCAUCUUGACAGCGCAAUAAAGAAGACAUGCUGCAGAUCUAUUUAAAAUUGGGGUGGAUUACAGGGAAGCAUGGCUCCCUUUUGCCUUCUGAGACAAUGUUAUAGAGCCACAAGCCUCAGUGCCCCCAUGGACCCUGUCCAGGAGUUGGUGCACAGUCUCUGCGCUGAUAGGACUAGAAUGUCCUGAAUCCAUGGCUGGACUUGGUGACAUGCAGGCACUGAAAGUUCAUUUCCGUCUUUCCUGGUCUGGAAGGUCGGGUGGGGAUCCAGCACCUCAGUGUCAAUUCAUCUUUCAGCGUAGGCCACUGAGCACUGGCUUAGCCUGCAAAGUCACCCUUCACCUAAACCUGACUGCCGAGUCUCAUGCUACCUUCCCGAGAAACCUUAGGAAGAAAGUCCCAGGGACAAAAACACACAAAGGCAAGGACUCCAAAGACAGACCUUUUCUGCAGCACUGGCUCCAAUGUCGUGGGUCUUGAUAAAGAAGAAGUGAAGGAUAUGAAGAAGUGAAGGAUGAGUACUCAGCCUUGAAUGGAACUUCUGUUUCAACACCCUCUGUCCAAACACCAUACACACCAUGGCCUUGGGAACAGCAGUAAGAGCCAGAGGAUUGGGGGGAGUGCUGUGAAAUACUGUGUCCUGGUUGUCACACUCACAAUACCUGUGGUUAUCUGCUCAAGAUCUAUUCAAGACCAAGCCAGCCAGAAUCCUGGCAUUGACUUGUUAGGUUGUCUCCAGGCUCCACCCCUUACUGAGGAGCUAUUGGUUGUUUCUGGUGGAGGGAGAAACAUUCUUUUGUGGCUGUGUAGCCACUGAUUGGAUCCUCAUGCUCCCGUGGAUGACCCACUCUAAUGUACUUAUAAGCGCUACUAAUUAGACUUAGUGGGUUAGUAGAUCAUCUUCAGAGUUGGGAGGAGGGCAUGAGGGAAGGACACAGGGAGCUGUAGGGGAAACCGGAGCUAAGUAUAACUAUAUGUCAUUGUACAAAUGUGUCAAAUUCUCAAGAAUAAACAAAAAUGUUUUAAA
This is a long non-coding RNA of Mesocricetus auratus (golden hamster), 1208 nucleotides long. RefSeq lists it as uncharacterized. The record is from RefSeq and is a predicted model, not a curated record. The transcript has 2 exons. NCBI's taxonomy places the organism in Eukaryota, Metazoa, Chordata, Mammalia, Rodentia, Cricetidae.